Molecule: ribosomal RNA, 432 nt
Filed under: uncultured bacterium
Lineage: Bacteria
Description: partial 16S ribosomal RNA
Rfam family: Bacterial small subunit ribosomal RNA
Source: RNAcentral
AACGAACGCUGGCGGCAGGCCUAACACAUGCAAGUCGAGCGAGAUCUUCGGGUCUAGCGGCGGACGGGUGAGUAACGCGUGGGAAUAUGCCCUUCUCUGCGGAAUAGCCUCGGGAAACUGAGCGUAAUACCGCAUACGCCCUUUGGGGAAAGAUUUAUCGGAGAAGGAUUAGCCCGCGUUGGAUUAGGUAGUUGGUGGGGUAACGGCCUACCAAGCCGACGAUCCAUAGCUGGUUUGAGAGGAUGAUCAGCCACACUGGGACUGAGACACGGCCCAGACUCCUACGGGAGGCAGCAGUGGGGAAUCUUAGACAAUGGGGGCAACCCUGAUCUAGCCAUGCCGCGUGAGUGAUGAAGGCCUUAGGGUUGUAAAGCUCUUUCAGCUGGGAAGAUAAUGACGGUACCAGCAGAAGAAGCCCCGGCUAACUCCGUG